Cotesia glomerata is the source of this 409-nucleotide long non-coding RNA. RefSeq lists it as uncharacterized. The record is from RefSeq and is a predicted model, not a curated record. The transcript is spliced from 2 exons. Lineage: Eukaryota; Metazoa; Arthropoda; Insecta; Hymenoptera; Braconidae.
GAUAAAAUCACAAAGUUCAAAUAAUCAGUGUAAGCUUGUGAAAAAAAAACUCACCCUUAUUCUGAAUUAAAUAUGAAAUAAUAAAAUUCCUAUGUAACAAUUUUGAAUCCUGACUUGCAUUAUUGUUGAAUUGAAGUUCAUCAAAUAUUAUGAAGAUUAUUCAAUCUCACCAGCAUUUUUGUUAUUUAUCUAAGUAAAAAAAAAAAAAAAUGAAGACUUUCAAAGUUAUAAAAAAAUGUAGAAAACUCACUAUUAAUACACGGAGAACUAAGUGCAAUCAAAGAAUUCAAAUUUACUGCUUACAACAUUGUAACUCUUAAUCGUGAGCAAAUGACUAAGAUUUUUCAAACAACAAUGAGUUACUUCACACUUUUAAGAAAUUUUGCGUAAUUUUGGCGAAGCUCAAUGU